This is a long non-coding RNA of Pleuronectes platessa (European plaice), 2767 nucleotides long. RefSeq lists it as uncharacterized. The transcript is spliced from 3 exons. NCBI's taxonomy places the organism in Eukaryota, Metazoa, Chordata, Actinopteri, Pleuronectiformes, Pleuronectidae. The record is from RefSeq and is a predicted model, not a curated record.
GAAGCGACGAGGCGCGCGCCGAUGCCCUGGGAGGGUGUCACCGACGGCAAGCUAGACGCACUGAGAGCGAGCAGCGAGCCCGGUGUCAGGACGAAGGCUAGGCGCAUUGGCCCGACUUCCGGUAUUGCUCCAUCUUCAUGCUCGUGUCUUGAUGCAGCCAGGGAGGAGAGUGACAGCUGAAUGGCCCCUCCCACAGAAAUUCACACUCCUCUCUCUCUGGACAAAACCAUCAGUGUUGUAGCGGAAAUAACACAGGACGCAGUGUAGCAGCACGAACCUCUGCCUGUCCGACUGACAUCUCUCAGUGGAUGUCACCACACCACCUGAAAAUCAACCUUGACAAGACCAAAGCUACUUUUCCUUCCAGGGAAAGGCUCUCCCACCCUUGACCUUACUAUCAUCAUUGACAACUCUGAAGUAACCCCAACCCAGACUGCAAGGAACCUGGGUACGACACUCGACAGUCAACCAUUCAAUACUGCCAACAUUAGUAGAUUUUAUUUGGACAUGGACAUGACAAUGUCAUUGGACGAACCAGAUGCAUUGUUUACAGUGUAUUAGCAUAAAUGCUAGUUUACAACACCUGUCCACAGGAGGCUUUUUGAAAACAACAAAAGAAACUGAACAAGACAGAAACAAGAUCAAAUACUGAUAAAAAACUGAUAGUGAUAAUUAAAAAGAGUAAAAAUGCAGUAUACAGUAGAGUACAGAGCAGCAAUAUAAUGAGUUGAAUAUAUAUAUAUAGGCUACGUAGAGAACAAAGGCAGCAUGAUCAAACAAUAACCAGUUGUAAAUUAUUUGUGUGAGCACUGUUGAUUUGAUUUGAGCCGUUGUUUUAGUUCUCUGUUAAAAGUGUUGCUGUUAGUCUCUAGUUUUAGACUAGUGGGCAAGAGGUUCCAUAAUUACUCUAACAACCUGCUAGUUUAGAUACUUACUGCACAACAUCAGGAGAAUACGUCCCCUUCUCACUCAGAAGGCGGGUACAGGGUCUGCUCCUGGCGAAGUGAAGGAUCUGUGUGUUUUUGUGGAGUCCUGGUAGAUGUGAGGGCCAGUGAGUGUUUAACAGUCUGAUGGCAGUUGGACGAAAAGUGUUCCUCAGUCUCGACGUCCUGCAUUUAAUACUUCUGUACCUUCUACCAGAGGGCAGAUGUGUGAACAGUCCGUGUUGGGGGUGGGUGGAGUCCUCUCAGCGGUCUUGACCACUCUCUGCAGGCGCUUGCGGCCCAUUGCAGUGGUGUUCCUAUACCAUACGGUGAUGCAGCUAGCUGGUCAAGGUGCUCUAAAUGAUGCAGCUGUAAAACUUACUGAGGAUCUUUGGUGACAUGCCGAAUUUCCACAGCCUACUCAGGAAAUACAGCCGCUUGUUGUUGUGCUUACUUGACCAGCUGGGUGGUGUUUAGACUCCAGGUGAGGUCAUCACUGAUGUAGACGUCCAGGAAUUUGAAGCUGCUCACCCUUUCCAUCUCCAGCCUACGGCUGAACAGUGGCCGAUGAGUUCUCCUUUCGCAUGUCCACGAUCAUUUCCUUGGUCUUGUCCGUGUUGAGGGUGAUAUUGUUCUCUUCACACCAUGUCACCAGACUUGCCACCCAAUGUCGAUAUUCUGUUUCCACACCGUCAGUUGUAAGUAUGAUGACUCUGGUGUCAUCAGCCAAUUUCAGGAUGGUGUUGUCCUUGUGAGAGGUGACACAGUCGUGUGUGAACAGUGUGUAGAGCACAGUGCUGAGAACACAUCCUUGCAGGGUACCGUCUUCAUCACAAGGCUGUUUGAUGUUAUGUUUCCAAUUCUGACUGCGGCCUGUCGGUGAGGAAAUCUGACAGCCAGUCACAGAGUGUGGAGUAGAGUCCAAGGUUUUGCAGUUUGCUCGUGAGCUUGUGGGGGAGGACUGUAUUAAAAGCAGAGCUAUAAUCUAUGAAGAGCAUCUUGAUGUAGGCAUCUUUGUUAUCCAUGUGGGAGAGGGCUAACUAUAUAUAUAUAUAUAGAUAGAUACCACUGGAUUACUUGUAAAAAAUUGCACAAGUCAAUGAAGUUGAUUUUUUUUAACCCUAUAUUGUCACCCCUCAAAGAUGACUACAUAGAUAUAUAUAUAUAUAUAUAUAUUACUUUAUACAGUAAUCCAGUGGUAUCAAGAAGAAAAAAAUGCUGUUAUCUGUAAUAUAAUUGUAACUCGGAUUAUGAAAUAAAGGGUUAGGGUUAGGGUAAAAUAAAUAAAUAAAUAUAAAGAACGCUGACACACUGAGCAUUAAUCAGACUCUGUGCCCCUUGACCUUGGCAGUUAUUUGGUAGGGUAAUCCUGAUAUGAAAGGGAAGAAUGGUGCAGAAAAUUUACAGGUGGGUAGUGUAGGAGCUGCAGACACAUAGCAAGUGUAGUGAAUGACAUUUUGUAUGAAUCUCUCUCAGUUUUAAAAUCAGUCUGACUGCUGCAUCAGAAGAACAUACGAUAAGCCUAUGUCUACCCACUCUGACCUCAUAAAGUUGAUCAAUCAUUAUAUCAUUGGACACAUUGCAUUGGUGUUGAAUCUUUAUCCUGCCAAUCUGUCAUGUAUUCUGUGUUAUAUAAAUCAAGUCCACUGGAGAAAUCAUUACAUCAAACUGAAAACUUGAUAUUAACAAUGUAAACAAAGGUGUUGGAAAACUGCUGUGACUUAUAGUCCUGUGGAAUAUUUAUAUCUGUCACUCAAAGGAAGGAGUUUUCAAGAAUGUUUUUAAAAAAUUCUCCAAAUGUCUACUGUGGAAAUGUCACCAAAUUAAAAAUACUUUUAGCAUUA